Molecule: RNA transcript, 1589 nt
Organism: Piliocolobus tephrosceles (Ugandan red Colobus)
Lineage: Eukaryota; Metazoa; Chordata; Mammalia; Primates; Cercopithecidae
Gene name: anamorsin pseudogene
Exons: 2
Source: RefSeq, a predicted model, not a curated record
AUGGAGGUCCGUCAGUACUGCACUGCAAGAAUAGCAAAUUUUGGGAUCUCUGCUGGCCAGUUUGUGGCAGUGGUCUGGGAUAAGGCAUCCUCAGUGGAGGCUCUGAAACAUCUGGUGGAUAAGCUUCAAGUGUUAACUGGCAAUGAGGGCCGCAGGUCUGUGGAAAACAUCAACCAGCUGUUGCAGUCUGCUCACAAAGAAUCCAGCUUUGACAUUAUUUUGUCGGGUUUAGUCCUGGGAAGCACCACUCUGCACAGUGCUGAGAUUUUGACUGAAAUCGCCCGGAUCCUUCAGCCUGGUGAAUGUCUUUUUCUGAAAGAGCCAGUAGAGACAGCUGUGGAUAACAAUAGCAAAGUGAAGACAGCAUCUAAGCUGUGUUCAGCCCUGACUCUUUCUGGUCUUAUGGAAGUGAAAGAGCUGCAGUAGGAGCCCCUAACCCCUGAGGAAGUACUGUCUGUUUGAGAAUAUCUUGGUCAUGAAAGUGACCGCCUGCUGUUUGUUCAGAUCACAGGCAAAAAACCAAACUUUGAAGUGAGUUCUUCUAGUCAGCUUAAGCUUUCCAUCACCAAGAAGUCUUCUCCUUCAGUGAAGCCUGCUGUGGACCCUGCUGCUGCCAAGCUGUGGACCCUCUCAGCCAACGAUAUGGAGGACGACAGCAUGGAUCUCAUUGACUCAGAUGAGCUGCUGGAUCCAAAAGAUUUGAAGAAGCCAGAUCUGGCUUCCCUGUGGGCUGCUUCUUGUGGAGAAGGAAAAAAGAGGAAGGCCUGCAAGAACUGCACCUGGGGCCUUGCUGAAGAACUGGAAAAAGAGAAGUCGAGGGAACAGAUAAGCUCCCAACCCAAGUCGGCUUGUUGAAACUGCUACCUGGGCGAUGCCUUCCGCUGUGCCAGCUGCCCCUACCUUGGGAUGCCAGGCUUCAAACCCGGGGAAAAGAUGCUUCUGAGUGAUAGCAAUCUUCAUGAUGCCGAGGAGGGACUUGACAUGGGACUCAUCUGCUCCUCCAGCCAACUCCUGUCCCUCACAUCCCACCACGGUGGCUCCUCCCACCUCCUCUGGAUUUGUUCACUCUGAGAUCCAUUUGCAGAGUGGGUGCUUAGCAGACAGAGUGAAGCUGGCUGGGUGGACGCAGUGGUGUGUAGUGCUGCUGUGUAUCAAAAGACCAAGGUAUUAUGGGGCCCAGUUACUCAGAAUGGGAUGGGUUUCUUCACCUCAUGUUAAGAGAAGGAAGUGUGUCCUGAAGAAGCCUUUCUUCUGAUUUAAAAUGCUGACCAGAACACUCUUGAGCCCAGGCAUCCUUGAGCAUUUACACUCUGUGACAGAGCUCCAGACCCCUGCCCCAAGUCUCAUCUCAGCAAUGCUGCCACCUGCUUGUCUUUCAGAGUUGUUAGUUUAUUCCAUUCUUUGUGACACAAGCCAAGUGUCUCACCACCUCCUCAGGGCACCAGAGGACUCACUCACUGGUUGCUGUGAUGAUAUCCAGUGUCCCUCUGCUCCCUUCCACCCCCAACCACAUUUUACUGUAGCAUUGCAUCUGUGUCCUGUUGUCAUUUCUAUUAACCUUCAGGUAUUAAACUUGCUGCAUAUCUUGA